This 81-nucleotide microRNA precursor is filed under the name Bombyx mori (domestic silkworm). Its description in RNAcentral is "mir-2807 microRNA precursor family". It matches the Rfam family "mir-2807 microRNA precursor family". The record is from Rfam by way of RNAcentral. Lineage: Eukaryota; Metazoa; Arthropoda; Insecta; Lepidoptera; Bombycidae.
UUAACUCGAGUUUAUAUGGAGUUGGAACGUUUGCCUAAGUUUGCCGCUAGGGGCGCUGUUCCAACUGCAUAAUUUGAGUUA